GGACAACCUGCCCUUAGGACGGGGAUAAACCCGGGAAACUGGGUAUAAUACCCGAUAGGUCUCGAGUGCUGGAAUGCAUCGAGAUCUAAAGCUCCGGCGCCUAAGGAUGGGUCUGCGGCCUAUCAGGUAGUAGUGGGUGUAGUGUACCUACUAGCCUACGACGGGUACGGGUUGUGAGAGCAAGAGCCCGGAGAUGGAUUCUGAGACACGAAUCCAGGCCCUACGGGGUGCAGCAGGCGCGAAAACUUUACAAUGCUGGCAACAGCGAUAAGGGAACCUCGAGUGCCAGGUUACAAAUCUGGCUGUCGUGAUGCCUAAAAAGCAUUGCAUAGCAAGGGCCGGGCAAGACCGGUGCCAGCCGCCGCGGUAACACCGGCGGCUCGAGUGGUAACCGUUAUUAUUGGGUCUAAAGGGUCUGUAGCCGGCCGGAUAAGUCUCUUGAGAAAUCUGGCAGCUUAACUGUCAGGCUUUCAGGAGAUACUGUCUGGCUCGAGGCCGGGAGAGGUGAGAGGUACUUCAGGGGUAGGGGUGAAAUCUUGUAAUCCUUGAAGGACCACCAGUGGCGAAGGCGUCUCACCAGAACGGACCUGACGGCAAGGGACGAAAGCUAGGGGCACGAACCGGAUUAGAUACCCGGGUAGUCCUAGCCGUAAACGAUACUCGCUAGGUGUCGGCCACGGUGCGACCGUUGUCGGUGCCGUAGGGAAGCCGUGAAGCGAGCCACCUGGGAAGUACGGCCGCAAGGCUGAAACUUAA
RNAcentral lists this ribosomal RNA (756 nucleotides) under uncultured archaeon. Its description in RNAcentral is "bacterial SSU rRNA". It matches the Rfam family "Archaeal small subunit ribosomal RNA", at positions 102 to 859 of the family's 1478-position model. The record is from RNAcentral.